This 75-nucleotide antisense RNA is filed under the name Micromonospora sp. CNZ299. Its description in RNAcentral is "ASpks TB sRNA". It matches the Rfam family "ASpks TB sRNA". The record is from RNAcentral. Lineage: Bacteria; Bacillati; Actinomycetota; Actinomycetes; Micromonosporales; Micromonosporaceae.
UUUGAUCGAGCCGAGCUGGAGCGGCCGAUCCGCCGGCCGUUGCCGGCCGUAGGUGGCGAGCAGCGCCUGAGCCUC